AAAGAAACGAAAAGCCUUAAAACGCCACAGUGCAGUGGCCAUAACUAUAAUCCCGGGGACUCUGGAAACUGAAGCAGGAGGAUCACAAGUUUGAGGUCAGCCCAACAAUUUAGGGAGACCCUGUGCCAAAAUUUAGGGGGAAAAAAGCUGGGCUCAGUGGCACAUGCCUGUAAUCCCAGCAACUUGGGAGGCUGAGGAAGGAGGAUGGCAAGUUCAAAGCCAGCCUCGGCAGCUUAGCAAGGCCUUGUCUCAAAAUAAAAAAAUAAAAAGGGAUGGGGAUGUGGCUCAGUGGUUAAGUGCCCCAGGGUUCAAUUUCUGGUACCAUAAUAACAAUAAUAAUAGUUAAUUUUUUUUAAAGAUUAGGAAUGUAGUUCAGUGGUAGAGCAUCUACCUAGCUUGUGAGAGAGCCUAUGUUUAAUCCUCAGUAUCACAAUAAAUAAUAAAUAGCCUUAGGACACAGAGAAGAAAACAGAGAAUGGAGUGAGAGGAAAGAGGGGACAGGGAUAGAAGUGGCCAGAGAAGAUCAAGGAGAUGCAAGAAGGAGCAGAUAGAUUGAGAAGUGAUGUCAUACCAGAGUGGCUCCUGGCAUGGAACUGGUUUUCCUUGCUCUGGGGACUGGGCCCUGUUAAGGAGCCCUGCUGUGACCAGUGGUGGACCUCGAGUGGAUAAGAGAGAUGAAUGAGCCCCACUCCUGCCUUCCAGUGAGGCUGAAAUGGAAAUCCAGGACACAGGAGAGAAGGGAGGGAGGACAAUCAAUGCUGAUUGAACCUAGUAGACCACGUGUCAGGCACUUCCACACACAAUGUUUCUUUUUAUUCUUGUAACAGUUAAGAAUGAAGCCAGGUGUGGGGGUGCAUGCCUGUAAUCCCAGCAACUCAGAAGGCUCAGACAGGAGGACUGCAAAUUUUAGGCCAACCUGGGGCCAUGUAUUGAGUGAGACCCUGUCUCAAGAUAAAAAAUGAAAAGGGAUCGGGAUGUGGCUCAGUGGUAGAGCAUCCCUGGGUUUAAUACCGUGUGUGUAAAAGGACAUUGACUGUGACUACCCCAAUGUCCCCAGUUGAGGUAGAAUGUCACCAGGCUCUGACCCUCAGCCUGGGAGAUAGAAUUCCCUCAUUCACCUCUUAAUACUUGAAGUAGUCUCGGGGCUCUGAGGAGGGACUCCUGACCACUCCCGACCAGGUCGGGGGAUCAUACAUGAGCUCAGGUGUAGGUUUCACGCCCCAGGAAGAUGCAGCUGGAGAAGGAGCUGGCCUCCGAGCUGUGGCGAGUGCGCUGGGAGGACCUGCAGCCCAGCAGCCUGGAGAGGCACCUCCGAAGCGCGGGCAGCCGGCUGACCUUGAGCGGGGUGAGAAUGCUGGUGUCUGAGGGGGCUGGGGGGUGUCACUGGUGUUCGCGAGGGGGCCCUGGGUACCCAGAGCAGUAGGGUAGAAAACAGGGCUCCACGCCCACCUCUGCCUUCCUUUGCUUCAUGACCUUGAGCAAGGCCAUUGCCUCUCUGAACUGGGCUCAUGGUGAUUGCAUCUCUAGAGCCUCCCUCCAGGGGCUCUUGGAAAGAUCAAAGGAGGCAGUAUAUGGGACAACACAAACAUAAAACCAGUAAGCGAGGGGAGGUUUCAUGAUGUGGAACAUCAAGGAGGGUGACACAAAGCUAAGGAAGGGUAGGAAAGACCAGAGCACAAGCACCCAGGGGCAUCCGGGCCUCUAGGCUGAACCCCUGUUCUUCACCCCUUCAGAGAGGCUCCAAUUACGGCUCCCUGCUAACCACAGAGGGCCAGUUCCAGGUGUUUGCCAAGACAGCGUACUACAAGGUGGGCCUGGGGAGACUUCUGGUCCUGGGUACUGUGGAAGUGUGCUCUGUGGCAGAGGGUGCCAGGGUGGGCUGUCAAGGGGCAGUUGGAGAUCCUCAGGGGAGUGGGGUGCCAUUGGGAGCAGCUGGGGGUCUUGGAGGGCGGCGUGAGCUGUCGGGAGCAGGUGGAGGUGCCAGGGCACCAGGUCAUGCUCCACACAGUGACAGUCUCCAUUCCUUUCUCAGGGCAACCUGGUGGCUGUGAAACAUGUGAAUCGUAAACGCAUUGAGCUGACAAGAAACGUCCUGUUUGAACUGAAGCAUGUAAUGUGGGGGUGUGAGGCGGUGGCCUGGGGAAGAGUCCCCUGCCGGGAGAUGGCCAACUGAGCUGUCUGUGGAGGUUUUGGUUUUCAGAGUGUCCUAGGAAAGCUAGGGUCUGUGAACCUGGGAUGGGCCCUUGCAUCCUGGGGAUGGGAUUAGGGGACCCAUCAUGAGAAGAGAGAUGAGAUCUCUGGAGAUACCCUGGAGGAAGACCCUUGAGGGACCUUACAUGGUGACCUGGGGAAUAAAAGGCAAGGAGGCAGAGGGUGUAGGAAGCAGAUUGUGGGGGAGAAGGGCCCAGUGGACAGGUUUGCAAACAAUGAAUAGGGAGUUAAGGGGGAGGGUCCCUGAGGCCAGAGAGCAAUCUGGUGAGGAGUGAGGUCUCUGUGAUGCUCCUGAUGCUGCUUCUCACCUGCAGAUGCGGGAUGUACAGAAUGAACACCUGACCAGGUUUGUGGGUGCCUGCACUGACCCCCCCAACAUCUGUAUCCUCACAGAGUACUGUCCCAGAGGGAGCCUGCAGGUGAGGGGACAAGGGAGUGUUAGUGAACCUGGGUUCCAAGCUGGGCAUGGCUGGGCAUGCCUGUAAUCCCCGCUACUUUGUGAGGCUGAGACAGGAGGGUUGCAAGCUCAAGGGCGGCUUCAGCAACUUAGCAAGACCCUGUCUCAAAAUGAAAAUGGCUGGGGAUGUGGCUUAGUAAUAGAAACACCCUUGGGUUCAAUCCCUGGUACCACAGGGAAAAAAAAAAUCCGGAAAUCUGGGUUCUAGCCCUGGCUUUGUCCCUGACUGGCCACAGGAGCCUAGCAAGCCUCCCUCCCUCUUUUUGGCCUUUAGUGGCCCCAUCUGUAAAAUGGGAAUGGGGGAAAUGCAGCUAGAGUAAAUCCAGUGUGGUCAGUAGGACCCUUGCCUCCUCCUCCCACCCCUAUGGAGGUCUGUGGGGUACAGGUCUGACUCUCCCCAGCAGGACAUUCUGGAGAAUGAGAGCAUCACCCUGGACUGGAUGUUCCGGUACUCACUCACCAAUGACAUUGUCAAGGUAAGCCCAGAGGGGCCACUGGGUGUUGGGGGUUGGGAUGAGGAAUGAGUAUGCUUCUCCCCUGGCCCUGGUUGUAGGUCCCCUCAUGCCCAAGACCUCUGCCUCCCCAAAUUUCCCAGGGAAUGCUGUUUCUACACAAUGGGGCCAUUUGCUCCCAUGGGAACCUCAAGUCAUCCAACUGUGUGGUAGAUGGGCGCUUUGUGCUUAAGAUCACCGACUAUGGGCUGGAGAGCUUCAGGGACCCGGAGCCAGAGCAAGGACACAUCCUUUAUGCCAGUGAGCCCAACUCUUAACCCUCAACCCCCCUACCCGACAAGCACCACCAGGAUAGCUUAGUAGGGAGACUGUGGCCUGGGAUCUGCCUGGCUCGGGCAUGCCUCUACUGAAUCCAAAGUCAGUUCUCAUUAGCAAAAAGGGGAAGACAGAGCUCUUCCCCGUUCUAAACACAGUGUGCUGUUCAGACCAGUCCCAGCCACAAGCUGGUUCACAGCUUUCCCCCACCCCUCCCCCACCGGAAGCUCUCUUUCCCAGCAUCAUUGCAUAUUCUUCUUUAUUUCUAUUAUUGCUUUUUUUGGCCAUGAAAGCUUAUAUUCAUUGCUAGUUUUUCUUUUCCCACUAGACUAUAAAGUCCCUCAUCCCUUCGCUUUGGGGUCCUUCACCACGUGACUCCUAAUGUCUGACCCACAGAAAAGUUAUGGACAGCUCCUGAGCUUCUGCGAAUGGCUUCGCCCCCUUCUCGAGGCUCCCAGGCUGGUGACGUGUACAGCUUUGGGAUCAUCCUCCAGGAGAUUGCCCUGAGGAGUGGGGUCUUCCAUGUGGAAGGUUUAGACCUCAGUCCCAAAGGUGAAAGAGCCACAAUGUCCCCUACCUCUAACCCCAGCCCCAGGGAGAGGGACCCUUGGAAGCAUCCCUAACCCUUCCUUCUGAGAUGGGGCCUGGCCACCACCCUUUGUUCCACUGAUGCCAGCCCAGCUGGUCCUAGGCUUCCCUAACCAACUCCAGCUGGCUGCCCCAGCCUCUCACUGGGCCCCUGGCUAACCCCUCUCCCCCACCCAAUACAGAGAUCAUUGAGCGUGUGACUCGGGGUGAGCAGCCCCCCUUCCGGCCCUCCCUGGCCCUGCAGAGCCACCUGGAGGAACUGGGGCAGCUGAUGCAGCGGUGCUGGGCCGAGGACCCACAGGAACGGCCACCCUUUCAGCAGAUCCGCCUGACACUCCGCAAGUUUAACAGGUCACUGGUGUUAGUCAUGGCCGCCUUCCCUCCCCACUCCAGACACUACAACCCCACACUUCAGUCUAUCUGCAGCCACAGAGGGAGCCACUCCAGCCACACAUGGCUCACCCCAGUCCACCGCAGCCUCUCAGCCCUCUGUACAACUCGGCUGUCCUCUCAGCCUCCUACCAUUCAGACCCCUUUCUUCCACCUACAGCAACACCCCAAGCCCUGCCCACUCUCCCACACUGGGCACAGUGGUGUGCAGAAUAAAUGGGCCACACAGCUUUGGCCUCUCCUUCGCUCCCCAUAUCCUCAGCCCUCCCCAUGAGCUCCUGCCCCAGCCCGAUGGUCUCCCUUUCCCAGUGGAGCUCAGAGAUCCCCAGACACACCUGUCUGCUGCCUGUGUGCCUGUCACUUUGUCCUUAGCUCAUCCUUGUCCCUAUCCACCUUUUUUAUUUUUUUUUUGGCACUGGGGAUUGAACCCAGGGACACUCUAUCUACUACUGAACUACAACCCCAGCCCUUUUUAUUUUCUUCAUUUAUUUUUAAAUAUUUUAAAAUUAUAGAUGGACAUAAUACCUUUAAUUAAUUAAUUGAUUGUUUUUAUGUGGUGCUGAGAAUCAAACCCACUGCCUCACACAUGCCAGACGAGUGCGCUACCACUGAGCCACAACCCCAACCCCUUUUAAAUUUUUUUUUUUUAAUUUUAAUUUUUAUUUUUUAGAUGUUGAUAGACUUUAUUUUUUUAUUUAUACAUGGUGCUGAGAAACGAACCCAGGGCCUCACACAUGCUAGGCAAGUGUGCUAUCGCUAAGCCACAAUCCGAGCCCCAAGCCCUUUUCAUUUUAAGUCUUGGUCUCACUAAAUUGCCCAAGCUGGCUGGGUCCAUAGCGCACACCUAUAAUCCCAGUGACUGAAGAAGUUGAGGCGGAGGAUCCUUAAAUUCAAGACCAGCCUGGGAGGCCAUGUCUUUUUUCUUUUGUUCUUUUCUUUCUUUCUUUGGUACCGGGAUUGAAUCCCAGGGGUGCUUAACCACUGAGCCACAUCCCCAGCCCCUUAUUUUAUUUAGAGUUGCUUAGGGACUUGCUAAGUUUCUCACGCUGGCUUUGAACUCAGUCCUCCUCCCUCCACUGGGAUUACAAGUAUGUGCCAUGCACCCUGCUUUGAGACCAUGUCUUAAUGAAAAGGUCUGGGGAUGUAGCUCAGUGGUAGAGCACCCCUGGGUUCAAUCCCCAGUACCACCACCACAGUAAUAAUAAUAAGGCUGGCCUUGAACCUGUUAAACUCCCAAGUUGCUGGGGUCACAGGUGUGUGCCACCGUGCCCCCACCCCACCUCCUUCCAACUCACUCAUGUUCAAUGAAGGUAAACAAGCUGUCAAAAUGUCUAAAGCUUCCUUCUUGACCCUGGGUUCUCAGAGAUGAAUUGAACUUUCCUCCCAUCCUUCUCACCUGCUCACCCCUAUCCUGCUGUGCCCCAAUUCUCACCUUCACAAGGGACCUGCUGCAGCUGGAGGUGGGCUGACAGUAAGCCUAGGGAGGGGGAGGGCCUGGGGGGAGGGCUCUCCAGGGCAGACCCCUGCAGCUCGGCUCUCACCCGGCUGCCCUGGCCCCUCAGAGAGAACAGCAGCAACAUCCUGGACAACCUGCUGACCCGCAUGGAGCAGUAUGCCAACAACCUGGAGGAGCUGGUGGAGGAGCGCACGCAGGCCUACCUGGAGGAGAAGCGCAAGGCAGAGGCCCUGCUCUACCAGAUUCUGCCUCAGUGAGUGCCCAUCUCUUCAGACCCGCCCCCCCCACACACACUCAGCCCCUGACCCCACCUCACACUCUGGUCUACACCUGCCCUGACCCCUCAGCUCAGUGGCUGAGCAGCUGAAACGCGGGGAGACAGUGCAGGCGGAGGCCUUUGACAGCGUGACCAUCUACUUCAGUGACAUCGUGGGCUUCACCGCCCUGUCAGCAGAGAGCACACCCAUGCAGGUAAGCCAGGGGCAGUCACAGGUGGCAGACCAGGUGGGUCAGCUUGGUGUCACUUCUCCGUCCCCAAGGUCUGCCUUCUGGUUCCCUCCUCCCACCCCACCCCAGGGAGCACCCUUCCUUCCAGUCCCAGUGGCUUCUUGUGCCUUCCAGGUGGUGACCCUGCUCAAUGACCUGUACACUUGCUUUGAUGCAGUUAUAGACAACUUUGAUGUGUACAAGGUAGGGAUGGGAAGGGACAGACAGACGUGGACAGGGUCAAAAAACGGUGAGGUUCAGGCGUAUGAAAGAGAAGUCCAGGGCACAUGAGCAGUGACUGGGGGGGGGGGACCCACCCGGGACCCACCCACCCACCCACAGGCAGAGGGGCGGGGUGAGCGCAGGGCGGGAGCCGGUGCGCGUGGGUGUGGCCGGCAGGUGGCCACAGGGAAGGGAGUUCCCGCCCUCCUGCCCCGCCUUGUCUCGCGCCCCACAGGUGGAGACAAUCGGCGACGCCUACAUGGUGGUGUCGGGACUCCCAGUGCGGAACGGGCGGCUCCACGCACGCGAGGUGGCCCGCAUGGCCCUGGCGCUGCUGGACGCGGUGCGCUCCUUCCGCAUCCGCCACCGGCCCCAGGAGCAGCUGCGUUUGCGCAUCGGCAUCCACACAGGUGCGGAGGCCCGGAGCAGGGACCGGAGGGGUCUCCUGGAGGUGGAGCUCCGCGAGGAGAACGCCCCUGGGACCAGCACCUCGGCCCCAUCUCGGUCUCCCCCUCCCUGUCCCCACUCCCCCCGUCUCUCCUCCCUUCCCUCUCCCUCUCUCCCUCUCCUCCCCUCUUAGCCCACCUCCUGCCUCUCCUGGGGCGCCUACCAGUCUCCCUUAACUCCCUUCUCACCCCUGCUACUGCUGAUGGACUCUGUUCCCUCCCUUGUCCCUCCUAGGACCUGUGUGUGCUGGCGUUGUAGGGCUGAAGAUGCCCCGUUACUGUCUUUUUGGGGACACUGUCAACACUGCCUCAAGAAUGGAGUCCAAUGGGGAAGGUAUAGUGGCCCUCCUAGAGGGGAGGAGGAGGGCCGGGUAGCCAAAGGAAUGGCCGCACUGUGGCAGCUUAAUUUAGGCAGUCCCUGUUCUGGCUUCUAGUCCUUUCUUCUCCCACAUGCCCUUCUCAUAAUGCAGAUGACUCUCCUCUUAGGAUAGGGUUACAUUGUAAGUUGAAAAUAUCCUAGGUUGAAAAUACAGUAACACACCUGACCUCUGGGAAUAUCAUGGCUUAUGUAGCCCACCGUAAACGUUCUCGGAACACUUACAUUAGCCCAAAGCCAGCAAGACUCCCUAACACAAAGCCUGUGUUGUAAUAAAGUAUUGAAUAUCUCAUGUUCACACAUAGGCGAGUGUUUGUAGACAUGAUGGGAUGUGAAAACAAAAUGCAAUAUCCAAAAGAUGCUAGCAGCACAAUGUACCCUGGAGCACAGGCUCUUCACCUUUGGAGUCAUGUGGCAGACCCUGAGCUGCGGCCCAGUGCUGCUGCCACCCACAAGGGCAUGAGGACAUGUGCUGCACAUAUGCCCAGGAAAAGAUCAGAAUUCAAACAAUUGAAUGUAUGUGGCUUUCACAUGAUCACAAGUCAAAAGAUUGGACUAUAAUAAAAGUCAAGGACCAGCUGAGCAUAGUGGUGUACCCUGUGCAAGGCUGAGGCAGGGGACUUGCAAAUUCAAAGCCAGCCUAAGCCACUUAGCAAAACCCUGUCUCAAAAUAAAAAAAAAAAUAAAAAAUAAAUAAAACGUUCUGGGGCUGGGGUUUGUGGCUCAAGUGGUAGCGCGCUUGCCUGGCAUGCGUGAGGCACUGGGUUCGAUCCUCAGCACCACGUAAAAAUAAAUAAGUGAAAUAAAGGUAUUGUGUUCAACUACAACUAAAAAAUAAAUAUUAAAAAAUAAAAAUAAAAAGUUCUGGGGACGUAGCUCAGCGGUAAAGCACUUCUGGGUUCAAUCCCCAGUACCAAAAAAAAGUAUUUCUGGGUCAGUGUUCAACAGUGCCUAGCAGGAAUCACACCUUUAAGGCCCUCUGCUCCAUCUUUGGUGUGGUGAAGAUGAUUGCAAAGGCAGACAACUCUCAGUUCCAGAGCUAGCUGUAUCAAUGUGCUAUCCCUCUCUGAGUCCUGGUUUUCCUGAUCUGUAAAAUGAAGGUAAAGUAUCUACCUCAUGCGGGGCGCAGUGGCACACACCUGUUAUCCCAGUGGCUCAGGAGGCUGAGGCAGGAGGAUCGUGAGUUCAAAGCCAGCCUCAGCAAAAACGAGGUGUUAAGCAACUCGGUGAGACCCUGUCUCUAAAUAAAAUAUAAAAUAGGGCUGGGGAUGUGGCUCAGUGGUUAAGCACCCCUGGAUUCAAUUUCUGGUACCAAAAAACAAACAAAAAAAAUCUACCUCGUAAGGAAUAUGUGAGAAGCUGUACAAAUGCCUAGCACAUGAAUGUCACUCAACUUUUUCGAGACUCAGCUGCUUAUCUGUAUCUCAGGGUUGUUAAAAAAAAAAAAAAUCAAAAACCAAACAACCCUAGCACAGCUUCUGGCACACAGUAGGUAUCUGUAAAUGCUUGCUCUCACCCUUUCCCUUCAUCUUGCUUUCUGUUUCUCUGCUAUCCAGCUUCUUCUGUAUUUGACACAAUUCAAGUCAGUAAAUAUUUAUUGAGCCAUAAAUACCUGUGCCAGGCCAGAGUUUAGCUGAGGAGUCUAUGUGGACCCCAUCCAAGGGUCCAGCCCUGGGAGCCCUGUGGGGUCUGGUUCAGCAGAUAUUCCCUGGGCCCUGUGUUUGAGGCUCCGGGGUAGGAGAGAGCUUCUCCCUGAGGUCCUCAAGGAGCAUAUUCUCAGAAAUGGCUAACAAGAGGCCACAUGAUGCAGACCCGGGGAGAAGUAUCAUGAGGUCAGAUAGUGGCCAGAGAAAGAGUAUGGGACUGGUGGGCCCAUCACUGAUCUCCUCGGCAGCUGGGGCAGAUCUUCUGCCCUGGGUCUCAUUUCCUCAGCCAUAAAAUGAGAGGAUGGAGUCACCUAACAGAUAGCAAGGACUUAGGUAAAGCUUCCUAUGGGCCGCGUUUUGUUUGAAUUAUUCAUUUAUUUAUUUAUGGUGCUGGGGAUCCAACCCAGAUGAAUAAUUUUAAUCCUCACAACAGGAACGCAUCCCUUUGAGAUGGUGCUUUCUCUAUCAGCAUCUCAUAGAUUUAGAAAAUGAGACACAGUUUAUAUUAAUUACCCAAGCAAAUGUCUAAGGGAUUCAUGCUGAGGCAGAGCAGGAUCCACAGCUUCUAACCACUAUGCUACACUGUCCCUCUGGAUCUGAACGAUACUCUGUAACAAUACUGCCCAGUAGUAUUUUUUUAGAUGUUAUUGUAUUUUUUAAUGCCUUUAUUUAAUUAAUUUAUUUGUUUUUAUGUGGUGAUUGAACCCAGUGUCUCACUCAUGCCAGGCAAGUACUCUAUUACUGAGCUAUAACUGCAAUCUCCAAUAGUAUUUUCUUGUGCAGUACAGGGAAUCAAACUCAGGGAUGAUCUACCAGUGAGCUAUGUCCCCAGCUCUUUUAAUUUUUUAAAAAUUUUAUUUAGGUCUCACUAAGAUGUCAAGGCAGAGGAGUCAGGCAUGGUAGAGCACGCUUGUAAUCUCAGUGGCUCAGGAAGCUGAGGCAGGAGGAUUGCAAGUUUGAGGCCAGCCUCAGCAAUUUAGCAAGGCCCUAAGCAACUUAGUGAGACACUGCCUCAAAAUAAAACAUAACGGCUAGGAUCGUGGUUCAGUGGCAGAGCACUUGUCUAGCAUAUGUGAGGCACUGGGUUCGAUUCUCAGCACCGUGUAUCCAUAAAUAAAAUAAAGGUCCAUUGACAACUAAAAAAUAUAUUUAAAAAAAUAAAACAUAAAUAGGACUGGGGAGGUGGCUCAGUGAUUAAGCACCCCUGGGUUCAAUCCCUGGUAUAUAAAAAAGUCAAGGCUGGCCUUGAAUUUGCGAUCCUCCUGCCUCAGCCUCCUGAGUUGCUGGGAUUAUAGGCAGCCAUGUGCUGCCACUCCUGGCUCCAAAACUAUUUUCUGCAGUCAUGAAAAUGUCCUGCAACUUUUACUGUCCAGUAUUGCGAACUUUAGUCACAUGUGGCUAUGGAUCCCUUGAAGUGUGUCUAAUACAACCAAGGGUCAGAAUCUUUGGUUGGGUUCUGAUCUUGAACUGGGGAUUGAACCCAGGGGUGUUUUACCACUGAGCUACAUCCCCAGACCUUUGAAUUUUUUAUUUUGACACAGGGUCUCACUAAAUUGCUGAGGCUGUCCUUGAACUUGUGACCCUCCUGCUUCAGGCUCCCAAGUGGCUGUGAUUACAGGCGUGCACCACUGAGCCCAGCAAGGCACUGAAUCUUUAGCUGUAUAUCGUUUCAGUUAAUUUAGACAGGCACAUGUGACUAAUGGGACCAUGUUAGGCAGCACAGCUCUAAAAUUCUAAAGGAGCCAAUAUAGUCACACAGUAUAGUCACACAUGCAUAGAGAGGGUGGGACUUCUCUGAGUUAAGAGGCUUUGGGGCCAAAGGAUGGAGGAGGGCAUCUGUCUACCCCAGUCCCCGGGUCUCCUCUGCCUGCUCCGUCCCCGCACUCCAUCUCCCUUCCCCUGUCCUACUCAGCGCUGAAGAUCCACCUGUCUUCUGAGACCAAGGCUGUCCUGGAGGAGUUUGAUGGUUUUGAGCUGGAGCUUCGAGGGGAUGUGGAAAUGAAGGUAGAGAAAGAAGUCCCUGCCAUCACGGUCCCUGGGGUCCUGGAGCGGGGGUACCCUUCUCCAGCAGCCAAUGCCACUCCCAUUUCUAGGCCUCCUAUCUGAUUUGGGACAGUAGUUGUGCCGCUCCCCACCCCAACCUUUUAUUUUUUAUUUUUUUUCCUCCAGGGCAAAGGCAAGGUCCGGACCUACUGGCUCCUGGGGGAGCGGGGGAGUAGCACCAGAGGCUGACCGGCCCCCCUUGCUGUCCUUCCAUACCUCCGAUGCCUGGUCUCCACCUCUCCCCAGCAGCCCCACCACUGCAGAAGGAUGAGAGAGCCGUGGUUGGAACAGCUCAGGCCCCCAGACCCCAGUAGAGACCCCGGGUGUGACUCUGAGAGACGACUGGCAUAGGGAAGAACCCAGAGCUCACAGGACCGACCUAAUCACACACUCACACAAAAUGGCACCGGUGUAGGCACAUGUCCCCUCCGCCUCCCCUAACGGGCUCCUCCUCCCUCGGCCUUGCUACACUGUGACUUUUAUUAAAAUUACCAUAGGGGAUAUGAAAAGGGACUCUAGUGAAAGGAGGGGGUAGAAGGUCCAGAUGUGGGCCUGAGCCACAGGGAUCACAAAUACCAUCCCACCCAUAGCCACCACCCACCCCUCCACUCAACAGUGGGCACAAUGCACAGGUGUGAAGAGGGGCCAUGGGGAGAGGCUGUGGUCCUGUGCGCCUUGUUCUCCUGUGAACAGACCAUUAAAACCUUUAUUCCAGUGACAGUGUCUCUUCUUAAGGGAGAGAGCAUUGCCAGAAAACAUAGCCAUGUUCUCUACCUUCUGCUUCGAAAAGACUAGUUUCUCCAACUGGGAAUGUAGAUUCUGAAAAAGCCGGCAGUCACCUGCAGCUUUGAGGAGACCACGGAACCCUCUGUGAAUUUUGCAGAAGUGCAGAACCUUUGUUUAUGUGGGUUAUACUUAUUGAUAUCGGUCGUAUUAGACAUAAAAAUAACCACAGCGAAGAAAGUGAAAUGAAUGCUUAUUGAUUGAGUCAUUCAGGAUAACAAUAAUAAACGCAUUAUAUGUUAAUAAUUUUUUACUACUUUAUU
RNAcentral lists this long non-coding RNA (12134 nucleotides) under Marmota monax (woodchuck). The stretch from base 5551 to 5603 matches the Rfam family "tRNA". The record is from RNAcentral. Lineage: Eukaryota; Metazoa; Chordata; Mammalia; Rodentia; Sciuridae.